GGGUUGCUGGAGGUAUCAGAAGUGCGAAUGCUGACAUAAGUAACGAUAAAGCGGGUGAAAAGCCCGCUCGCCGGAAGACCAAGGGUUCCUGUCCAACGUUAAUCGGGGCAGGGUGAGUCGACCCCUAAGGCGAGGCCGAAAGGCGUAGUCGAUGGGAAACGGGUUAAUAUUCCCGUACUUGGUGUUACUGCGAAGGGGGGACGGAGAAGGCUAUGUUGGCCGGGCGACGGUUGUCCCGGUUUAAGCGUGUAGGUGUGUGUUCCAGGUAAAUCCGGUUCACUUUAACACUGAGGCGUGACGACGAGGCACUACGGUGCUGAAGCAACAAAUGCCCUGCUUCCAGGAAAAGCCUCUAAGCAUCAGGUAACAUCAAAUCGUACCCCAAACCGACACAGGUGGUCAGGUAGAGAAUACCAAGGCGCUUGAGAGAACUCGGGUGAAGGAACUAGGCAAAAUGGUGCCGUAACUUCGGGAGAAGGCACGCUGACACGUAGGUGAAGUGAUUUACUCAUGGAGCUGAAGUCAGUCGAAGAUACCAGCUGGCUGCAACUGUUUAUUAAAAACACAGCACUGUGCAAACACGAAAGUGGACGUAUACGGUGUGACGCCUGCCCGGUGCCGGAAGGUUAAUUGAUGGGGUCAGCGCAAGCGAAGCUCCUGAUCGAAGCCCCGGUAAACGGCGGCCGUAACUAUAACGGUCCUAAGGUAGCGAAAUUCCUUGUCGGGUAAGUUCCGACCUGCACGAAUGGCGUAAUGAUGGCCAGGCUGUCUCCACCCGAGACUCAGUGAAAUUGAACUCGCUGUGAAGAUGCAGUGUACCCGCGGCAAGACGGAAAGACCCCGUGAACCUUUACUAUAGCUUGACACUGAACAUUGAGCCUUGAUGUGUAG
RNAcentral lists this ribosomal RNA (891 nucleotides) under Salmonella enterica subsp. enterica serovar Stanley. RNAcentral's name for it is "partial 23S ribosomal RNA". It matches the Rfam family "Bacterial large subunit ribosomal RNA", at positions 1267 to 2141 of the family's 2925-position model. The record is from RNAcentral. Lineage: Bacteria; Pseudomonadati; Pseudomonadota; Gammaproteobacteria; Enterobacterales; Enterobacteriaceae.